AUGCUGUACACAACAUUGCUAAUGAGGACAGUGUACAAGCCAUCGCUAAUGAGGACACUGUAUAUGACAUCGCUAAUGAGGACACUGUACAAGGCAUUGCUAACGAGGACGCUGUACACAACAUCGCUAAUGAGGACACCAUAUAAGACAUCACCAAUGAGGAUGCUGUAUAUGACAUCGCUAAUGACACCGACAAGGCAUGCUAACGAGGACGCUGUAGAUGACAUUGCUUAUAAGGACACCGUACAAGACAUCGCUAACCAGGACACUGUAUACGACAUCGCUAAUGAGGACGUUGUAUAUGACAUCGCUAAUGAGGAUGCUUUACAAGACAUAGCUAAUGAGGUUGCUGUAUAUGACAUCGCUAAUGAGGACAUUGUAUAUGACAUCGCUAAUGAGGACGUUGUAUAUGACAUCGCUAAUGAGGAUGCUUUACAAGACAUAGCUAAUGAGGUUGCUGUAUAUGACAUCGCUAAUGAGGACAUUGUGUAUGACAUCGCUAAUGAGGACGUUGUAUAUGACAUCGCUAAUGAGGAUGCUUUACAAGACAUAGCUAAUGAGGUUGCUGUAUAUGACAUCGCUAAUGAGGACAUUGUAUAUGACAUCGCUAAUGAGGACGCUCUAUACGACAUCACCAAUGAGGACGCUGUAUACAACCUCGCUAAUGAGGACGCUGUAUAUGGCAUCGCUAAUGAGGAUGCUGUAUACGAAUUCGCUAAUAAGGACGCUGUAUAUGACAUUGCUAAUGAGGACACUGUACAAGACAUCUGUAAAAAAGAAGAUGCUGCCAAUGAGCCAUUGACACUGGAGAAUGAUACGUACCCUGAAAUAACUCACUUCCUGAGGAAAAAACGCCAUCUCUAGGGUACAGAAACCUGAUUCUGGGAUCCUUUUGGGAAGGAGGAUUUGGGGUCUGGUGAGAGCAAAUGAUUUUGCAAGUAUAAAACAACGUCCAGAGAGGCUGUAGGGAUAUCUGUGAGCCCAGAGGAAACACCAGGGGAUCCUGUGCGAAGCGCCAUGGCUUCAGCUAGGGUGGGAGGAGUGGGUGGGCCUCUCUCUAAUGACUUAUCCUGGUGUUUGUGUUUCUAAAGAUUUGAUUGUGGAGAGCAUAUCUGAUGAUGGGGAUUUGUAGGUAGGUAACUACUUUCCACGUAAGAUCCAAUUGGAGAGAGUUCCCAGGGGCCUUCGGGGUAUCCAUGCUGCUUGGGAGGUUAAGGGAGGGGGCAUGAAAUCAAAACGAAACAGGAAAUAUGUGUCAUAUUGGAUUUGGUCUUUUCUGGGUUUAUUGGCAUAAUAGUUAGAACUGUCUCUCUGGGCUAUGAGGGUGCUGUGUUAUUUAAAGGUGGUCUUUCCCAGAACACCUGGCCUUUUCUUUUCUGCCUCUGCCAAACAUCACAGCCUUUGGGUUGGAUUAGUCAGCACCCCUUGGGAUUGUGCAGAAGAGGUUUGGGGUUGCAUCGAGUGUCACAUGUGGUGAACAAAAUCUGAGGGACACAACUCUCUCACAGGCACUUCCUUCAACCUGGAGACAGAGUUCUCCUGGUGUGUGCCCAGGGGUGGAGGAGAAAUUGACAGUCUGCCUCUGAACUUUCAGGACUUUAAAAAGCACUCAUGUUUCCAUCCUCACUGUUGCCUCCUGGCUUAAAGGGAUCUCCCGGGGUGAGUGAGGAGGCGGGAUCGGACCCUGGCAGUCUGACGGCAGCACCUGUGUUCCUCUGCACUGGGCCGUGGAUGACAUUACACACCUUGCCACUCUCACGGUCCUGUGUGUUCCGGAUAUUUUAAAAUAAUGGCUAUAAGGUUGAGCACUUCAGGAUAUGCUGUUUUGCUGUGUGCAGAUGGAGGCAGUGGCUGGAGUGAAUGAACGGCAACACUUGCUGGCAACCGGCAGAAGCUGAGAGACAGGGAACAGGCUCUCCUCCAGAGCCUCCAGGAGCCAGGCCUUUGGACACCUUGAAUGUGGGCUUCUGGGAGACCAUGCGUUUCUGUUAUAAGCAGCCCAGUCUCUGGCAGUUUUUACGGCUGCCCCCGAACACUCAUCUACACCUGUCUGACAAGGUCAAGCUCCAAGGAAGGGAUUCUCUACAUAUCUACAUUGUUUGCAGAUUUUACAAUAAUCAUUUAUUCUUGCAUGGCUGAUCAUUGUUAACCAAUACAAAUAAAAUAAUAAAUGACCCACAUUUUA
RNA transcript from Pan troglodytes (chimpanzee), 2185 nucleotides. RefSeq lists it as uncharacterized. NCBI's taxonomy places the organism in Eukaryota, Metazoa, Chordata, Mammalia, Primates, Hominidae. The record is from RefSeq and is a predicted model, not a curated record. The transcript is spliced from 3 exons.